RNAcentral lists this ribosomal RNA (216 nucleotides) under Glomeromycotina sp. Its description in RNAcentral is "partial small subunit ribosomal RNA". The stretch from base 40 to 216 matches the Rfam family "Eukaryotic small subunit ribosomal RNA", at positions 686 to 864 of the family's 1831-position model. Lineage: Eukaryota; Fungi; Glomeromycota. The record is from RNAcentral.
GGGUCAGUAGGUUGGUCGUGCCACCGGUACGUACUGGUCUCACUGAUUCCUCCUUCCUGAAGAACCGUAAUGCCAUUAAUUUGGUGUUGCGGGGAAACAGGAAGGUCACUUUGAAAAAAUUAGAGUGUUUAAAGCAAGCUAACGCUUGAAUACAUUAGCAUGGAAUAAUGAAAUAGGACGAUCGAUCCUAUUUUGUUGGUUUCUAGGAUUGACGUA